AAAUUCUGGGUUGAAUCAUCUACAUGGAUAUUAAAAUCAUUAAUUACCAGUCUUAGUGAUUCCAGCACCAGUGUAAUAAGGAACCUAAUCAAUCCAGAAGGCUCUUUUGUAUUAGUGUGGGGCAACCUACAUGCUUACACUAGCCCUAUCUAAUCCUUAAUUUGAUUGCAGUAUACAGAAUAUUUAAAGAUGGCUUGUCAUGGCUGUGGAGAAAGUGAAAAACUCUUCACUUCUGCUAUAGCUUCUCAAACAUCUCGCACAGCAGAACUGUGCUGAGUGAUUGAAUCUUCGCUGUGUCCACUUGGUUGCAGAUUGAAUUUUUCCUUGUGGAGAGCUUUCAUGUUACUUAGCAGACAAAGAUCAAAUUUGGACUGAGGUUCCCAUUGCUAUGGAAACUUAACCAUAUGUGGAGAAGGACAUGAGCUCAUGUCUUCUUUGCUUGAGUUGCAGCCGGUAUUACUGUCGGAGACUGUGGAGGUGCUGUAGCUACUUCCUGAUAAUGUGUGAGUUGCAGUCUUGUCUUUUCUGGCUAGUGAAGGCCAUUGAAGAAGUAAUGGGUCCAUUAUUUGUCAAGAUUGUGAAUGUUUUUCUGUGUGUGGAUGAGAACAGGAUCCCAGCACCUCUUAAAUAAGCUAUUGAGAACUCAUGAAACCAACUCUUGAUGUUCACAUUCCUGCUAUCAGCCUAUGUCCCAUCUCCCAUUUUUAAGGAAGGUCAUUGAGAUUUCCUUGGAGUCAAACUGGUCAUAGGCCCAAACAUGGGGUAGAACCCCCCCCCCCACGGUUGCAUUAGUUUAUUAUAUCCAAGCAAUGAACAGAGAUUAAGGGUGUAUGAUUCUUAUAAAUUUGUCAGCAGCUUUUGAUACAGUUGGCUAUGAGAUUUUGUUGACUCAUUUACCGACAAUAGCAGGGAUGGAUGGCACUGCUUUUGAGUGGCUAUUAUCUUUCUGAGAGGACCCCAAAGGGGAGUUGUGGUCAAUGAUUUCUCUGUCCCAAGAGUGCUCUUUUGUAGCUGCUGAAGGGGUCUGUACUAUCACAUUUCUUGUUCAUAGGGUAUAUGAUUGUUAGCAAGGAGAUAUGGAUUGCCGUGUAUUUAGUGCACUGAUGAUACCGAGCUUAAUGAGAGAGUACAACAGCACUUUCAAAAACACAGGGUGCUUUUAGAUUCUGGGCUACUCUUGGAUGCUCAGAUAGGGCUGUGGCCAAGAGUACUUUUUCAGACCAGAAUAGUGUAACCUUUUCUUUCCAAUGAAUUCUUUGUCACCUCAAUAUUAGAUUGCUGUAAUGCACUCAGGACCAUUUAGAAGCUGAGCCUAGUGCAGAAUGUUGCAUGUGCGAAGCACAGUAGACCAGUGUUCUGCACUGGCUUCCAGAAAAUUUCUGGUUGAAAUGAAAGGUGGUGUUUAACCUAUAGAGCCCUAAAUGGGUUGAGACCUGAUAUAUCUGUAAGAUCUUGUCGUCUCCUCCUACUGCCACAGCAAAGAUGCUUGAGCUGGAGCUGUCAUUCUAUGGAUGAGAGGGACCUGCUGUCAAGACAUGCUCCGAGGAGGAGGAGUCAGUUUUGAAACAAGGUCCGCACACUUGGAUUGCCAGAACAUAGGUUUGUUAGGCUUUGCAGUGUGCCCAAAAGGCUAUAUUCCCCCCGCCAUGCACGCACACACACAUACACUCUCUCUCCCUCUAAGGUUGUUGAGAAGGGGCUGGACUCGGGUGAAUCUAUAGGCAAUCCUUUCCUUGUUUCUGUUGUUUAACUGAUUAGAAAAUACGAUUAAAUUCUUGCUGAAUGCUUAUAGUGAUAAUGUGUUAGCUUUAAAAUUAUGCGAUAAUUUUGCAGAGUCUUGGAUAUUAACUUAUAUUUUAGAAACUUAAAAGAACCAUAGCUAAUGGUUUCUACAAGAGAGUUUGAUUCUUCUGUUGUUGCAACGGUUAAGGAACCUACACUGGAAUGUUUAAUUUUCUUCUAUUAACCAUUCAUACCAAAGGUGGUCCUGACUAAUUUAGAUAAAGUAUAUAUGCAAGCUGUCACUUGUCUGAAGAAAGGUAUGCCAUGUAAUACCAAAAUUGUAGGUGGGGAGGAAGGUCUUCUAUAAGAUGUGUUGAAUAUGUAAUCACAUAAGCAUCAAAGGGUAUGUGUACACUGCAAGGUAAGCCCAGGGGGUCAAAUCAGACUCAAGCCUAAACCGCACUUCUGUCUAAACAUAAAUUGCACUAACCCAGUGCCGCAGGACUCCAUGGGGAGGGAAGAUCCAAGCCUGAGUCAAGCCGGGACCAAGGGUUCAAGCCUUAUUGCUUUUCAGUGUAAAUACAGCAGCACUAGACUCAUGCUCUGGGAGUCCACUAAAAGCAUUCCACAAGCCCCCGGGUGAACUUUUUGUCUAGACAGUCAAGUUUUCUCACUGCACCACCAACAAAGGGCUGGAGUGGCCACAUUUUGGGAGGGCACUAGAAGAUUUAGAUAUGCGUGGCUGGAUGCAAGCCCGCAUAAUAUAGUGUAGACACUGAAGCCCCAGGUUGUGACCCAGGGGUCAACAAUCCCUAACCUACAAAUGAGUGUAGAUGCUCAAGCCCUAGGUUAACAAACCCAGAGUCUGCUAACUUGAGUUCUGCUAACCCUGGGCUUACAUUGCAGUGUAGACAUAUCCUAAGAAAUAAGCUCAAAGGGUGGGAUCCGCAAAGGGAUUUUGGCAUUAGGCAUUACAAUGCUGAGUGUCACAGUGCCUAGAAAAUCACAGGAACAAUUCUGCCAUCCACAAAUCCAAGUUCAGCACUUAAGCUCCUUGUACAAUGAAUAGGGAGAGGUAGGUGCCUAAAAAUGGGAUCCACAAAAGCCAGCAUGCUAGAAAGGGUGCCACCUAACCUACCCAAUGGGAAAUGCUGAUGAUGGCGGGGAGGGUGUUAAACCCCUCUUCUCUCUCAGAGAUAGGUGCCAAAGUCCAGGCUGCAGGGAGGUGCCUGUCUGCUCAGACCCAGCCACCUGGAGUCAGAUGGAUCGGCUCCUAAGUCACUUCUUGCAGGAAUGAGUUCAAUGUUUGCCUCACACUACACAAAUGGUUGGAGGAGGAGGUGGUGAUGAGAGCCUUCCCCCUCAUAACUUUUAGCCUAGUAGUUAAGGCACUCAUCUGGGAUAUGAGAAACAGGUUAAAAUUCCUCCUCUCUCUGCCAGAAGUAGAGGAUUUGAUUAGGGGUCUGCCACCUCUCAGGGGAAUGAUCUAACCACUGGGCUAUUCAGAUGUGGGCUUCCCUCAAUUUCUCCUGUUGAAACUGUUCCACUGUGGAUAAAUAAAGAAUGGUUGGAGCAGGGGGACUGGACCUGCAGCCUCCCAUCUCCCCAGGUGGAUGCUCACCACUGGACUACAGAGCCAUUCUAUCUCGUGCUCCCUCCCACCCAACAGUCUUUGGGUCAGAGAGAGAGCGAGAGUGCCUUUUGGGACCCACUCCAGUAGAUGUGCUCAAAGGCUGCCUAAUGGAUCGGGCCCUGGAUGUGACUUAAGCAGUAAGACAGAACCUGAUCUGCUAGGCAUGCUCAGGGGCCGCCAAGUGGAUCAGGGCCUGCAUACAACCUAGGUGGAUGAACAUGCAUCUUCCCCUGGUUUGUGAAUUACUCUGGGGCAUAGGGCUUCGGCAGGAGAUGGACAGUUAGAGGGUGGCAGCGGUGUACUUGCCUAGGGUCUACAAUUUAGCUACCUAGGGAACCUUUACAGUGGAAAGGUAGGCACCAAGUGAAUUUAGGUGCUUACAGGGUUAGGUGCCAGCCAAGCAGGAGUUUCAUGGAUCUCAGUGAUGCAUAUGGGGACUUGGGCACCUAACUCUGGAGUUUAGGUAUUUAAGUCGCUUUAUGUAUCACGCCCAAAGCUUGUUAAAUUAUCAGUAAGAAAACAACCAUUUAAGAGGGACUGGGAGUUUUGACUACUUAUUCAAACCAUUUUUUAACAGAUGAUCAGCUGGAGGGAAAUAUGGUAGAUGGGUCUUUAAUCUUUCUAGUAUGGCUGAGCAGACGUAGAAUGCAAACCACCCUGCUUAUCUAGUCUGCCUGGCCUAAUGAAAUGCUAGGGGCACUUACUACAUUAACUGUCAACAUUAUUUACUAUUUAUAGCUUUACCACACUAAGUGCCAUCAGAGACUGUUCUUGAUGAGAAGAAAUAGGAGACGGUCUGCUCCAGCUUCCCUCCACAAUAUGAGUCUUGAGCUGCAGAGAAGAUGGGGACUUUGGUUGUGGGUGCUAACAGAAAACUCUGGAUCCAUGACUUUUGGUGACUCCUAAGAAGCUUGUACAGUGCCAUCCUGUGCUGGAGGCAAGUACUCCUUAUUGGAAAUACACAGAUGUGAACAUGUUCCUUCAUAGCAUCUAGUGUGUUGUAUUUUUCUCCACCUGAGUUAACAGAUGUUUCCUUUCAGCUGCAACUGACAUUUUUAGUUCUCCUCCAGAGACAGGAUUUGUUUGCAAGUCUAUAAUAUUAAAUCACAAAAUACUACAUUGUGUGUCAAUUAAGACAGGUCUGUACACAACAUACCUAACACAAAAGCAAUAGUUAAGACAUCUUACCCUCUAUUCCACUUAGAGACAGAGAGAGACCUCACCAUUGGAACAAUCAUCAUACACCCUUAACUUUGCCUUUGUAUGGAUGCUAGUCUUCCAGCAACCACUCCUCCAAGCUUUCAUAUCCACCACAGAGACAAGACUAAGGCCUGGUCUACACCUAAAACUUUGGUCGUCCUAGCUACAUUGGUCAGAGUGUGAAAAAUUCACAUCCCUGAAAGACAUAGUUAAGCCAAACUAAGCCCCAGUGUAGAUAUCACUAGGUCAAUGAAAGAAUUCUGUCUCUGAGGAGGGUGGGUGGAUAUACUACAGCUACAAGAAACCCCCUUCCAUCACUGUAGCAAGUAUCUAUAUUACAGCACUACAGCAGUGGAGCUGCAGCUGUGCCACUGUAGUGCUUGUAAUGUAGACAAACUCUAUGGCAGUAGUUUUCAACCUGUGGUUUGCAGACCCCUGGGGAUCCGCAGGCUAUGUCUCGGGGAUCCGCAGGCUAUGUCUCAGGGAUCCGCAAAAGGGGACUAUGAAUAUAAAGUUUCAGAUGCCAUAAAAGGCAUUCUAUUUUUCUGAUCAAUCAAAAGUAUGUGACUACCUCCACCUACAGGUCAAAACCUGGAAGAAGUGUUGAAGAAGGCCACAGUUUUGCACCCUUUCUCAUGCUGCAUCAAAUGCAGGAUCUGAAUAGUGAUGGAUUUAUCAGUGAUCUUCCCUAGGGACUGUGGUUCGAAACCACCUGCCUAAUAGGUUCCUAACUAAAGACUCACCACAAGAAUCUGGAUAACCUGAUGAGCUGCUGCAAAAUGUCAGAUAAACAACUGGAGAUCAUUGACGAUGUCAGACUGCAGUUUAUCAGUGACACCACACACUGCAGUAUCUGAUUUUCUGAUAUUGGCCAAAGUUUCUGCAGGCCCACCAUGGCCUGAACUUGAAUAAAUUUCCUCACCCCCGCCCCCCAUGGAUCUCUGCACUAUCCUAAGAGCACGGAUAGUCAAGGUUCUGAAGGGUCAGAGGCAUCUGUUUGGGGUCCUUGUUGGCUCCCAGUACCAAGUCUUGAAAUCUAUUCACCUGUAAUUGAGACAAAUGUUGGCUAUGCCACCUUUAAUCCCAGAGAUAUGUUUAGUGGUAAAACAGCUGUUACAGGUUUAAACACUGCAGGAUAAAUACUCUCACCAGCCCCAACACGCUUAGUGAUUUGAAUGACUAGCUGUUAAUAACAUUCACUACCACCAGGUUUUCACUCCAGAAUCUCACUCUUUUGUUUGCAGACGGCAUGCCGUAAAUUGUCACUGCAGCUAAAAUGAGAGGAAGUUCCAUGAAAGUUAUGUCCUUAACUACUCCCCUUUGUAUCCAAUCAGUGGGCCGUCUCUGAGCAUGCCAUGUGCUUUGAUAGAAAAGUUUUAUCCAGAAGCCCCUGGAUUGAUCUUUUAGGUCUACCUUUGCUAUCGACCAAGUCUAUCCAUGCCAUCUUUAGGAUCAAUUAUAUUGAAAGCCACCAGGGCUAUAAAUACCAUCCUGGCUACUAUUAAAAAGAGGUGGUUAAAUUCCAGAAUUAUAGCUUACAAAAAACCAGACUGUAAGUUCACAGCACUCUGACUUCUAUCUUAUCCACCUCCCCUCUACUCCACCUUGAGUCCUAUCUUAUUUUACAGCUGCUUUCACAAGAACUGCUAGAGUUAGAAUCAGUACUUAUGCUUUGUAAAGUUUGGAAUUCUACCUCUCAAAUAGCUAGAAAAUCAUUAAUUUCUACUUUUAGUGGUUCCUGAGAUAUUGCUACUUAACCAUGCCAGGGUUGUAUGAUGACACAGUCUCACUGGGUGAACUUGAACAAAGGAGAGUGCAUUUCUUCAAAACUGCUGUUGAAUUAAGUGAUACAGAAUACAAUAUGCUGUUCUUAUUCAAUGGACACAUGCUGAAUGCAGCAAUACUAUUGUCCUCAAUUAUCGUGUAAUACUUCUAUUUAAAAUAUUACAUCCUUCUGGUAUGAAUUCCAUAGUAAAAAGAGUAUUUUAUUUUCUUUCAGAAUGAUUCAAAUACUUAAAAGAACAUGCAUGAUUAGAUAGGUUAAUAAGUUAGAUAUCUUGACUGACUAGUUGUUCUGCACUACUUGGAUCUGCACAGAAUGUCAAUUUAUUAUCCCUUCUAGAGUAUAUAAUCAUCUUCUUAAAACUUCUGCUUCUAAAAUGAAAAGAUGAAGUUUUUCUUGUAGCAGUCUAGUUUUGUAUGUAAUGAAAUUAGUGCUAUGGUAUAAAUAAUGCAAGCUUCUUCUCUGAAGAAUCCCAUCAUAAAGACUGCAUUUAGUAUGUGCUAAUUCAAGUUUUAAUGUAAUGUUUCCAUAAAGUUUGUUGAGUUCCUUAUGGAAAAAUUACAUUACCCUUCCUUAGUUUUAGGCAUAGAAAAAACAAAUUUUUCAACUGAUGAAAGAAAUGCUAGUGUCUGAAAGUGUGCGUGAUUUGCUUUUUUUAAACACGUGGUUCUUUUCCUCUCUUUUCUUUUCUCCAGCACAGCCCUCAUUUACAUUUGUAGGGAGCGGAGUCCUCAGUACUACAAUGGAUUUCUUCAUUGUAAUUCUUAUCAAGAGUAGCCAUUGAUAGUUGUACUGAUUUCAAACUGCAAUGCCAAUAUUCCUUCCUUCAGUCUUUAUUGUUGAUAUGUUACAAAAUACAUGACAGAGUAAUUCUUUAAAUGACAGAGUAAUUAACUUUAAGAUGGAAACAUUUUAUGCAUAAAAAUAACAUAUGAACCA
This is a long non-coding RNA of Dermochelys coriacea (leatherback sea turtle), 7277 nucleotides long. RefSeq lists it as uncharacterized. The record is from RefSeq and is a predicted model, not a curated record. Lineage: Eukaryota; Metazoa; Chordata; Testudines; Dermochelyidae. The transcript has 2 exons.